CGGGUACGGGGACCGUGUCAGGCGGGCAGUUUGACUGGGGCGGUCGCCUCCUAAAGAGUAACGGAGGCGUUCAAAGGUUCCCUCAGAAUGGUUGGAAAUCAUUCGCAGAGUGCAAAGGCAAAAGGGAGCUUGACUGCGAGACAAACAAGUCGAGCAGGGACGAAAGUCGGACUUAGUGAUCCGGUGGUACCGCAUGGAAGGGCCAUCGCUCAACGGAUAAAAGCUACCCUGGGGAUAACAGGCUUAUCUCCCCCAAGAGUCCACAUCGACGGGGAGGUUUGGCACCUCGAUGUCGGCUCAUCGCAUCCUGGGGCUGAAGUAGGUCCCAAGGGUUGGGCUGUUCGCCCAUUAAAGCGGUACGCGAGCUGGGUUCAGAACGUCGUGAGACAGUUCGGUCCCUAUCUGUCGUGGGCGCAGGAAAUUUGAGAGGAGCUGUCCUUAGUACGAGAGGACCGGGAUGGACGUACCGCUGGUGCACCAGUUGUUCCGCCAGGAGCAUGGCUGGGUAGCUACGUACGGACGGGAUAAGCGCUGAAAGCAUCUAAGCGUGAAGCCCCCCUCAAGAUGAGAUUUCCCAGUAUGUAAGACCCCUUGAAGACGACGAGGUAGAUAGGUUGGAGGUGGAAGUGCAGCAAUGCAUGGAGCUGACCAAUACUAAUCGGUCGAGGGCUUAUCCAAG
This 679-nucleotide ribosomal RNA is filed under the name Paenibacillus sp. S150. Its description in RNAcentral is "partial 23S ribosomal RNA". It matches the Rfam family "Bacterial large subunit ribosomal RNA", at positions 2240 to 2925 of the family's 2925-position model. The record is from RNAcentral. Lineage: Bacteria; Bacillati; Bacillota; Bacilli; Caryophanales; Paenibacillaceae.